AUUGAACGCUGGCGGCAGGCCUAACACAUGCAAGUCGAGCGGAGCGGAGGACGGGUGAGUAAUGCCUAGGAAUCUGCCUGGUCGUGGGGGAUAACGUCCGGAAACGGGCGCUAAUACCACAUGCUAUUAGAUGAGACUAGUUCGGAUUUGCUAGUUGGUGGGGUAAAGGCCUACCAAGGCGACGAUCCGUACCUGGGCUGAGAGGAUGAGCAGUCACACUGGAACUGAGACACGGUCCAGACUCCGACGGGAGGCAGCAGUGGGGAUUAUUGAACAAGGGGCGAAAGCCUGAGGCAGCCAUGCCGAGUGUGUGAAGAAGGUCUUCGGAUUGUAAAGCACUGUAAGUUGGGAGGCGUUACCAACAGAGUAAGCAACGGCUAACUCCGUGCCAGCAGCCGCGGUAAUAC
RNAcentral lists this ribosomal RNA (407 nucleotides) under uncultured bacterium. Its description in RNAcentral is "partial 16S ribosomal RNA". It matches the Rfam family "Bacterial small subunit ribosomal RNA", at positions 30 to 526 of the family's 1533-position model. The record is from RNAcentral.